UUCCGAUGUUUCAGAGUUUGC
Molecule: non-coding RNA, 21 nt
Filed under: Arabidopsis thaliana (thale cress)
Lineage: Eukaryota; Viridiplantae; Streptophyta; Magnoliopsida; Brassicales; Brassicaceae
Source: RNAcentral